RNAcentral lists this transfer RNA (73 nucleotides) under Amborella trichopoda. Its description in RNAcentral is "tRNA-Lys". The record is from RNAcentral. Lineage: Eukaryota; Viridiplantae; Streptophyta; Magnoliopsida; Amborellales; Amborellaceae.
GGUGCUUUGGUUAGUUGGUUAUCAUGUCGAUCUUUUAAUUUAAGGAUCCCUAGUUCGAACCUUGGAAGCAUCA